UUUGGGUUGAAAUAUGAUGAAUGCUGAAAACUUGAUGGAAUUGUGAAGAUUACAAGAUCCAACUCUGAUUUCACCCAAAG
Notamacropus eugenii (tammar wallaby) is the source of this 80-nucleotide small nucleolar RNA. Ensembl annotates it as small nucleolar RNA, C/D box 19B. The record is from Ensembl. NCBI's taxonomy places the organism in Eukaryota, Metazoa, Chordata, Mammalia, Diprotodontia, Macropodidae.